GACGAACGCUGGCGGCGUGCUUAACACAUGCAAGUCGAACGGAAAGGCCCUGCUUUUGUGGGGCGCUCGAGUGGCGAACGGGUGAGUAACACGUGAGUAACCUGCCCUUGACUUUGGGAUAACUUCAGGAAACUGGGGCUAAUACCGGAUAGGAGCUCCUGCUGCAUGGUGGGGGUUGGAAAGUUUCGGCGGUUGGGGAUGGACUCGCGGCUUAUCAGCUUGUUGGUGGGGUAGUGGCUUACCAAGGCUUUGACGGGUAGCCGGCCUGAGAGGGUGACCGGCCACAUUGGGACUGAGAGACGGCCCAGACUCCUACGGGAGGCAGCAGUGGGGAAUAUUGCACAAUGGGCGGACGCCUGAUGCAGCAACGCCGCGUGCGGGAUGACGGCCUUCGGGUUGUAAACCGCUUUCGCCUGUGACGAGGCGUGAGUGACGGUAAUUAGUAAAGAAGCACCGGCUAACUACGUG
RNAcentral lists this ribosomal RNA (468 nucleotides) under uncultured bacterium. RNAcentral's name for it is "partial 16S ribosomal RNA". It matches the Rfam family "Bacterial small subunit ribosomal RNA", at positions 28 to 507 of the family's 1533-position model. The record is from RNAcentral.